UCUGUGCUUCUAUUUCUUUACCUGCAGUUGUUUCAACACCUGGAAAGCCAGCAGCUCCUGGCGAAGGUCAUCUCCACACUUGACAAUGACUGAAAGGAGUCGCCAAUUGGGAAGAUGGCCAUAAGGGGAACCUUCUCUGAUCCUCCUGUGAAGAAAGAAGUCACAGGAUGAUGCCAGGCUCAAGCAAUGUCUCAGCUGCACCUUCAGGGCCUCAAGUACCAAACAAGGACAGAAUAAGGAGAUAAAGGAGAGACACAAAGCUGACAGCUGGUAACCAGACACAGGACAAAGAGGCAGAAUGAAGAAGAUGAAGAUGAAGGACGAUGUGAUUGGGCCAUACCGGAUGUCCCCUGCUGCAAUGAACACAGGCUCCUUGCUCUCCUGGCUGGUGAUGCUGUCCACCGAGAACUGGGAGAUGUUGUCACAGCUGUUGGUGUGCACUUCAGGGAGCUGGGAAAGAGCAGGUCAGAAGUGCUAAACACAGAUCUCCCUCUUGCUCUCUGCUCAUCUGCCACUACCUAUGGUAUGGUGGCCUACCACUCCACUCCAGCCUUCUCCCUAAGCCACCAUGGUUCCACAUCACUGUGGCUUUGAGCCAUGGAUCCCACAGCAAUGUUCUCAAAGUGUGAACUACUCCAAUAGAAUUCAUGGAAAAGCAUAGGAAGUGCAGAUUCUCAGUUCUGACCAUCAGUCCAAAUUAGAACUACUGGGAAUGAUAUCUAGAAGCUGCAUUUUUGUGAACUUUCUAGAAUACUCCCAACACUAAGAAUGGUCUCAAACUCCUGCUUUCCCAGCUUCCACAUCAGUGCUGGGACUAUAGGUGAACCACCACACCCAGUUUCUUCAGGCUAAAUCUCCACCUAAUCUCCUCACUCUUAUCUAUAAAAUAUUCUGCCAGGCCCCAAGAAGUCUCUGUCCUUCCUUUUACAAAGUACUCUCAAUUACACCUGCCAUCUAAUACACAGUGACACGUGUAUCUUCAUUUUUCUUCUGCCAGCUCCACAGUGCCGCUUGAGUUUCUUUUCAUGGCUACCAGAGCUGAGUGAGUGCACUGCCUGUCAGGGCUGUACCAGCUUCUCUAGCCUCACUCACUCAUCACUGCUCCUCACCUCACUACGCAUCAGCGCAUACAGUUUCUUUUCAUCCCUAUCAUGGCCAUGUUGCAUUUUCUCUUCCUCAAUCUGAAUGGUCUGAAUGUUCUUUGUUCUGCUAAUUAAACCAUGCUUCCAGCCUCA
This is a long non-coding RNA of Mus pahari (shrew mouse), 1235 nucleotides long. RefSeq lists it as uncharacterized. The record is from RefSeq and is a predicted model, not a curated record. Lineage: Eukaryota; Metazoa; Chordata; Mammalia; Rodentia; Muridae. The transcript has 2 exons.